Molecule: long non-coding RNA, 1705 nt
Organism: Pan troglodytes (chimpanzee)
Lineage: Eukaryota; Metazoa; Chordata; Mammalia; Primates; Hominidae
Source: Ensembl
CUUGUGGUUUGCCCACCUCGGCCUCCCAAAGUGCUGGGAUUACAGGCAUGAGCCACUGCUCCUGGGCCAUGUUUAUCUUUCUUAAAAAAUAAACUAUAUUGAUUCUGCAAAUUAAUAUUUUCCCAGAGACAGGAGAGGGAGAAAGAGAAAGAGCGUGAGAGCAAGAGAGAGAGAGAGAAACAGAAUGACUCAACCUUUACUCUCUAUACCAGUAGUCUUCAAGCUGAGGCUGUGUGCCCCAUUCUUAUUACUCUAUCUCAGUGGGUCUCAAUCCCGGCUACACAUUGGAAUCACUUGGAAAGCUUUAAAAAUAAAACCAAACCUGUGCUUGGGCUCCACCUAGGUGUUCACCACAGCUGUCAGUAUAAAUCAAUGCGUCUUGGUUCCAUUCUUCAUCAUUUGCUGGUAGCUAAAUUAUGAAAGCAAGCAGUCAGAAGUCACCCCAUAAAACACCUUCCACCCUCUGAGCAUGACCAGCAAAGCGGUUUCUUCUUGCGGGCACUGCAUCAGUCCAGCUCAAAGUGCAUUCCAUUCUGAUGAACAUCCACAAACAGUUAUGAAGAAGACCCAAAUGUCAUGAUUUUGUUCCUCUCAGAUAAUAAAAAUAUCAUGAGUCUGAAGGAGUGGUGGUGGGUGUUCAAGUCAAUUCAGUUACAAGCGUACGCCUUACCCCAGUUCUCGUGACUUCAUCCUGAAUUAGAGUUGUCCCCUGUCAUCUGGAAUAUAUUUCCCAUUGAGACACAUUACUCUCACUCCUUCUACAGCUGUCCCAGGCUCAGUGCUUGAUUUCUCAGAGAUUUUGUUAUGUGAAUCAGUCCAAAGUGUGUUACAGCAAGACUAAGUCAUCAUGAGUCACAUGAUCCACACAUUUCCUAUUUGUAUCUUUACUUGGUUGAGUGUGUUGUCGGGGGUUAGAAUAUAUUUUGGUCUGCUUUAACCUUUGUGUUCAAAUUCACUCUUAGGUUGAAAGAAAAAUAUAAACUCAAAUUUAAAGAAUAGCCUUCUUUAAAAGACAAGCUUGGCUAUGACUAAGCAGUUGUUACUUGAUGAGCGAGAGAAGCCCCUUCUUGGAUAAUUGGGGCUGCAGGAAUGGAGUGACCGUUUCCCCAUCAGCAUCCUCUCUGGGUGCUUCAGGUCUGAGCUAGAAGAGCAAGGGCCAGCGUCCCCCAGCACGUAGUUGUCUUGAUGCCACAGACAAAAUAAUUUAAUUCAUGUAUGCGUCCUCAUAAAUCUGACAAAUGUUUAGAAAAUGGAAGCUUUGAAACGUGCCGAAUUUGGGAGAGAAAGGUGUGCCUUUUACAGGACCAUCAGGUCAUCGCUCUGAUCUGGGAAUUUUUACGUAGUGAAUACAGAUUUCCCAGCCCAUAAACUGAACUCUGUUACCAAAGCAUUUUUAAAAUCUCGAUUUACAGUUUUCUUUCUGUGAGUUGGCAGAAAAUUUAAACUAGUUCAUUCUUGGUAUAUUCAGGAAAUUCCAAAAUUUCUCUCUUUUAGGAGGCACAAGUCCUUUCUUCCCCCUUUUUUCCCCAAGUGGGCAGGCAUUUGUGGCACCCAGCAUCAGGAAGAAAGUCCUUGCUCAGCCUUUCUCUGUGUUGUCAUAUCACACAGUGAUAGGAUCAUAGUUAAAGCUAGUAUUUAUACUUCGCUCUCUAUUUUGUACUUCGCUCUCUAUUUUAAGAGCUUUACAUAAAAAAAUUAAUUGAGG